Molecule: long non-coding RNA, 996 nt
Filed under: Marmota monax (woodchuck)
Lineage: Eukaryota; Metazoa; Chordata; Mammalia; Rodentia; Sciuridae
Source: RNAcentral
UUCUGGUAGGCCUGUGUGUCGUCGAAUGCAUGAUGGAUGAGAACUGUCAAGCUGGGGAGAAGUGCUGCAAGUCAGGAUGCGGCCGUUUCUGUGUCCCACGGUCCUUGAACUUCAACAGGACCCUCAGGUCGGAUCUGAAUUAGGUGAGAACAGUCCCCUCAACAACCAAUAUCAAGGUAAUAGACUUAACCGCUGUGUGCAAAGAGCAGCUUAGGUCCUGGGAAGGGGACUGCUGAAGGCUCAGAUGGCUCUGGUCAGGGAGAAAGAUCCUGUGUCACCGAGCGAAACUGCUGUGGUCAGUACGGGCUUGUAGGUGUUAAGGUGGGUACGGUAGAGAUGGGGUGUGAUCUGGGUGUGUCAAGGUGGGGCUAGCGCAGACAGUAUGCCAGACAGGCGGUGUGACUGUUAGGGAAGUGAAAGGGUGGGCACGGUGUACGUGAUUGGGCAGUGGGGGCUGAGGGACAGUGGAUAAGGGAAUAGGCAUAGCUCCUCUUUUUGAUGACAGGAGAUACAAGGUAGACUUCUGUGUGACCAGAGUCUGCAGUUGGGUUAUUUAGGAAGCAGGUAGCCAUGUCCACUUUUGAGAGCAGUGUCUGCCACGGUUCUUGAGGGUGGAGGGAGGACACGGUGGGUGGCUGGGGCCGGAGGCACCGUGGUGACUUGAUCUCUCUUCCCCUUGCAGAGGCCUCGGUGCCCUACUUGUCCUGAUUUGUCUGGAGCUUCAUUAGUGACUCCAGGAGGUUCGUCCUGGCAGCCAGGAGAGGCUGACAUCCUGCGGCUUGUGACGCUCCUGGGGGCCCUCACAGCCCUCUGUGUCCUGCUUUUCUUCCUCCCUGGCCUGGAGCACAGGAGGAGCAGUGCUGGCUGGGGUGGGUGUCGGUGCGCUCUUCCCCAAUAAAGGCUGGUGCUGGCCUCUGUCUGUGUGUCUGGGCUCAGAUGAGGCGGGACUGGGAGGCUGCUGAGUGAGGCUGGAGGAACAAUAAAAAUGGGUGUUGG